AUGAUGCUUUCAAGGGCCAAACCUGCUGUAGGUGGGGACGUCCAGCAUACUGACAAAAGAAAGAAGAAAGGUAGGAAGAUUCCAAAACUAGAGGAGCUCCUUUCACAAAGAGAUUUCACUGGAGCUAUUACACUGUUGGAGUUCAAACGUCAUGUUGGGGAACAAGAAGAGGAUACUAAUUUGUGGAUUGGAUAUUGUGCCUUUCACCUCGGUGACUACAAGAGAGCUCUGGAGGAAUACGGAAAUGCUACAGAAGAGGAAAAUUGUAAUUCUGAAGUCUGGGUGAACCUAGCUUGCACCUACUUCUUUCUUGGGAUGUGUAAACAAGCCGAAGCAGCUGGAUUUAAAGCUUCGAAAAGCUGACUCCAAAACCGCCUCCUCUUCCACUUGGCUCACAAGUUUAAUAAUGAGAAAAAGUUGAUGAGCUUUCAUCAGAAUCUUCAGGAUGUCACAGAAGAUCAACUCAGUUUGGCCUCAAUCCACUAUAUGCGAUCUCACUACCGAGGAGCUGUUGAUAUAUAUAAGCGAAUACUGCUAGAUAACAGGGAAUACCUUGCCCUCAAUGUUUAUGUGGCCUUCUGCUACUAUAAAUUGGAUUACUAUGAUGUGUCUUGAGAAGUUUUGGCUGUUUACCUUCAGCAAAUUCCUGAUAGUACCAUCGCACUCAAUCUUAAAGCCUGUAAUCAUUUUCGCCUUUACAACGGCAAAGCAGCUGAGGCAGAACUCAAAAGCUUGAUGGACAGUGCUUCUUCAUCCUUCGAAUUUGCUAAAGAACUCAUCAGGCACAAUCUGGUUGUUUUCUGAGGAGGUGAAGGCUUUGCAGGCUUUACCUCCCCUGGUUGAUGUCAUUCCUGAAGCUAGGCUAAACUUGGUGAUUUACUACCUUCGUCAAGAUGAUGUACAAGAAGCUUAUAACUUAAUUAAGGAUCUGGAACCUACUACUCCUCAGGAGUAUAUUCUCAAAGGAGUGGUCAAUGCAGCCCUUGGCCAGGAAACAGGUUCAAGGGAUCAUAUGAAAAUUGCCCAGCAGUUCUUCCAGUUGGUGGGAGGAUCAGCUAGCGAAUGUGAUAUAAUACCAGGAAGGCAGUGCAUGGCUUCCUGUUUCUUCCUGCUUAAGCAAUUUGAUGAUGUCUUGAUUUACCUCAACUCAUUUAAGAGUUACUGCUAUGAUGAUGAUAUCUUUAAAUUUAAUUAUGCCCAAGCCAAAGCUGCAACAGGCAAUACCAGUGAGGCUGAAGAGGUGUUCCUCUUGAUCCAAGUGAGAAGAUGAAAAAUGAUUACAUUUACCUCAGCUGGUUAGCUCGGUGCUAUAUUAUGAAUAAGAAACCAAGACUAGCCUGGGAACUUUAUCUCAAGAUGGAAACCUCUGGCGAGUCCUUUAGUCUCUUAAAGCUCAUUGCUAAUGACUGCUACAAGAUGGGCCAGUUUUACUAUUCUGCCAAAGCUUUUGACGUCCUCGAGAGGCUGGAUCCCAGCCCUCAAUAUUGGGGAGGCAAAAGGGGUGCCUGUGUGGGCAUUUUCCAGAUGAUCUUAGCUGGGAGAGAACCCAAAGAGACCCUUCGAGAAGUGGUCCAUUUACUGAGAAGCACAGGUAACACCCAAAUAGAGUACAUCAUCCGGAUUAUGAAGAAAUGGGCCAAAGAAAACAGAGUACCCAUCUAAGAUAGCCCCAGCAUCCUAGGAACCAGCUUCCACUUUGACAUAAAGCUGGAAAUUAUUUUCACUCAAGUUUAAUCUGUGAUAUAGGGCUCUGUUUUAUUGACAUUUUCCCUCCUUGCUUUUUAAGCCUCAAGGUCAGUGACUGACUUGCUGAGACCUAGUCUCCUGGCUGAGCAGAGUACCAUAGUCUGUGACCCUGUAUGAUCCUUCUAGCAAUAAGACUUUGGACUUGUCUGGUGCCCUUCUUCCAGAAAUGCUCAGAGUACUUUUAUGUAAUUUACUGACUUUAAGGAAAACAGUAUAACUUUUUUUUUGUUAGCAUUUUAUGGCAUUGUUUCCUGACUGCAAUAACAAAUGUCUUUGAUGUGCAAGAAAAAAAA
Sapajus apella (tufted capuchin) is the source of this 2039-nucleotide RNA transcript. It is a transcript of the gene named intraflagellar transport protein 56-like, with no coding region annotated. The record is from RefSeq and is a predicted model, not a curated record. NCBI's taxonomy places the organism in Eukaryota, Metazoa, Chordata, Mammalia, Primates, Cebidae. The transcript has a single exon.